GAUGAACGCUAGCGGUGUGCCUAAUGCAUGCAAGUCGAACGGGAUCCUUUGGAUUCGUCUGAAGGUGAGAGUGGCGAACGGGUGAGUAACACGUAGGUGACCUGCCCCGGAGAGGGGGACAACCACUGGAAACGGUGGCUAAUACCCCAGAUGUUAUUGCGCUUAGAAAGCAAUUACUAAAGUUCCGGCGCUCCGGGAGGGGCCUGCGGCCCAGUCAGCUUGUUGGUAAGGUAAUGGCUUACCAAGGCUAAGACGGGUAGGGGGCGUGAGAGCGUGACCCCCCACACUGGUACUGAGACACGGACCAGAUACCUGCGGGUAGCAGCAGACAAGGAAUAUUGCCCAAUGGACGAAAGUCUGAGGCAGCAACACCGCGUGGAGGAUGAAGGCC
RNAcentral lists this ribosomal RNA (391 nucleotides) under uncultured bacterium. Its description in RNAcentral is "bacterial SSU rRNA". It matches the Rfam family "Bacterial small subunit ribosomal RNA", at positions 28 to 416 of the family's 1533-position model. The record is from RNAcentral.